ACACGGGACUGCCGGUCUUAAGCCGGAGGAAGUGGGGAUGAUGUCAAGUCAGCAUGGCCUUUAUAUCCUGGGCUACACACACGCUACAAUGGCCAACACAAUAGGUUGCUAAGCCGCGAGGUGGCGCCAAUCCAUAAAGUUGGUCUCAGUUCAGAUUGUAGGCUGCAACCCGCCUGCAUGAAGAUGGAGUUGCUAGUAACCGCAGGUCAGCUAUACUGCGGUGAAUACGUUCCCGGGGCUU
RNAcentral lists this ribosomal RNA (241 nucleotides) under uncultured Leptolinea sp. Its description in RNAcentral is "partial 16S ribosomal RNA". It matches the Rfam family "Bacterial small subunit ribosomal RNA", at positions 1141 to 1382 of the family's 1533-position model. Lineage: Bacteria; Bacillati; Chloroflexota; Anaerolineae; Anaerolineales; Anaerolineaceae. The record is from RNAcentral.